AGACCCGAAACCCGGUGAUCUAGCCAUGGGCAGGUUGAAGGUUGGGUAACACUAACUGGAGGACCGAACCGACUAAUGUUGAAAAAUUAGCGGAUGACCUGUGGCUGGGGGUGAAAGGCCAAUCAAACCGGGAGAUAGCUGGUUCUCCCCGAAAGCUAUUUAGGUAGCGCCUCGUGAAUUCAUCUCCGGGGGUAGAGCACUGUUUCGGCUAGGGGGCCAUCCCGGCUUACCAACCCGAUGCAAACUGCGAAUACCGGAGAAUGUUAUCACGGGAGACACACGGCGGGUGCUAACGUCCGUCGUGAAGAGGGAAACAACCCAGACCGCCAGCUAAGGUCCCAAAGUCAUGGUUAAGUGGGAAACGAUGUGGGAAGGCCCAGACAGCCAGGAUGUUGGCUUAGAAGCAGCCAUCAUUUAAAGAAAGCGUAAUAGCUCACUGGUCGAGUCGGCCUGCGCGGAAGAUGUAACGGGGCUAAACCAUGCACCGAAGCUGCGGCAGCGAACGUAUCACCCAAGACAACUUUACGGAGUUGACGAUUGACGGAGCGAAGCGACGUCAAAGCGUUCAUUAAAGUCGAGUUGGCUUAGGGAUACGUUCGUUGGGUAGGGGAGCGUUCUGUAAGCCUGUGAAGGUGUGUCGUGAGGCAUGCUGGAGGUAUCAGAAGUGCGAAUGCUGACAUAAGUAACGAUAAAGCGGGUGAAAAGCCCGCUCGCCGGAAGACCAAGGGUUCCUGUCCAACGUUAAUCGGGGCAGGGUGAGUCGACCCCUAAGGCGAGGCCGAAAGGCGUAGUCGAUGGGAAACGGGUUAAUAUUCCCGUACUUGGUGUUACUGCGAAGGGGGGACGGAGAAGGCUAUGUUGGCCGGGCGACGGUUGUCCCGGUUUAAGCGUGUAGGUGUGUGUUCCAGGUAAAUCCGGUUCACUUUAACACUGAGGCGUGACGACGAGGCACUACGGUGCUGAAGCAACAAAUGCCC
Molecule: ribosomal RNA, 977 nt
Filed under: Salmonella enterica
Lineage: Bacteria; Pseudomonadati; Pseudomonadota; Gammaproteobacteria; Enterobacterales; Enterobacteriaceae
Also listed under: 3 other names
Description: partial 23S ribosomal RNA
Rfam family: Bacterial large subunit ribosomal RNA
Source: RNAcentral